AUUGAACGCUGGCGGCAGGCCUAACACAUGCAAGUCGAGCGAGCGGCGGACGGGUGAGUAAUGUCUGGGAAACUGCCUGAUGGAGGGGGAUAACUACUGGAAACGGUAGCUAAUACCGCAUACCAUCAGAUGUGCCCAGAUGGGAUUAGCUAGUAGGUGGGGUAACGGCUAACCAAGGCGACGAUCCCUAGCUGGUCUGAGCGGAUGACCAGCCACACUGGAAGUGGUAAACGGUCCAGACUCCGACGGAAGGCAGCAGUGGGGAAGAUUGAACAAUGGGCGCAAGCCUGAUGCAGACAUGCCGCGUGUGUGAGGAAGGCCUGCGAGUUGUAAGGCACUUUCAGCGGGGAGGCGUGACCCGCAGAAGAAGCACCGGCUAACUCCGUGCCAGCAGCCGCGGUAAUAC
RNAcentral lists this ribosomal RNA (406 nucleotides) under uncultured bacterium. Its description in RNAcentral is "partial 16S ribosomal RNA". It matches the Rfam family "Bacterial small subunit ribosomal RNA", at positions 29 to 526 of the family's 1533-position model. The record is from RNAcentral.